This 306-nucleotide ribosomal RNA is filed under the name Triticum aestivum (bread wheat). Its description in RNAcentral is "partial small subunit ribosomal RNA". The record is from RNAcentral. Lineage: Eukaryota; Viridiplantae; Streptophyta; Magnoliopsida; Poales; Poaceae.
AUGUCACCAUCCCUACUGUACGCUCCAGAUAAAUGCCAGUGCGCCAUCAUCACCAACGUGUCAUCUCAACCACUUCUGGAGCCCAUCACGCCAGAGCAGCAAGUUGUGCAGCUAGGUGAAGUUGUGGAAGCGUCGCCGCUAGCCUUCGAUCCAGCGGCGCCAGCUGACCCCGUGGUGCCAGAUCCAUUGUCUCUCGCGUCGGUAGUGGCUUUGAUGGUGCAAGCUGACCCUAUGGUGGUGGCAGCGCUGUCAGCGAACCAAGACGUGGUUUCAGGGUUUCUAGUACCUGUGGAGGCAUCCCUGUAG